GACGGCAGCAACUUCUCAGAAAAUACAGAUGUCCAGAAAUUGUGGCUGGCCCCUUCUUUUUAAAUCCACCAAUGCCAUCUCUAGAAGAAUCGAUCAGGGGAAAGUGCCAUAACUGAUACUGAGGAAUGUUGGAUAAGAGGCCAUUCUUCAAAAAUGAGAGCUCUGAAAGUACACAGAAGAAAUGGAUGAGUAUCAAAGGUCAUUCACCCCCAGACUCGUUGCCUUUCAACAAACUCUCCAUCAUCUUCCACUGUUUGGCACUUGAGAAGCCUAUGAAUGUCAUCUCACUCCAGCCAAAUAGCCCUGAUUAGAGAGGAUGCUUGGAAGAAAAGCAGCUGUCCUGUGACUAUGAG
Long non-coding RNA from Prionailurus viverrinus (fishing cat), 353 nucleotides. RefSeq lists it as uncharacterized. The record is from RefSeq and is a predicted model, not a curated record. The transcript is spliced from 4 exons. Lineage: Eukaryota; Metazoa; Chordata; Mammalia; Carnivora; Felidae.